This 6108-nucleotide long non-coding RNA is filed under the name Sus scrofa (pig). RNAcentral's name for it is "lncRNA (ENSSSCG00060048510.1)". Lineage: Eukaryota; Metazoa; Chordata; Mammalia; Artiodactyla; Suidae. The record is from RNAcentral.
GCUGCACCUGUAGCAUAUGGAAGUUCCCAGGUUGGGGGUCCAAUCAGAGCUACAGCCUAUGCCACAGCUACAAUACUGGAUCCUUAACCCACUGAGUGAAGCCAGGGAUCGAACCUGCAUCCUCACAGAGACAUCAAGUCCUUAACCCACUGAGCCACAAUGAGAACCCCUGUUUCCACUUUUUAAUAAUGACAGAGUUUCCACUUUUCACUAGAAGAGACUGCUGGAAGAAAUAUUAUCAGCCUCUGUUCCUGACUCUUGAUCAGUUCCUUCCUCAGAUCGGAUUUGUCUGAUUAUCCAGAAUCUAUGAUGUUGCUGGGAUGCUUUUCAUAAGCGAGUACAAUCACUGGGAGCUAACGAGCAGUUAAAGAUAAGCCCUCUUGUCCUUUCCACCAUGUCCUUCACAAACUGCUAGUGUGGUAAAAGAAGUGCCUCUCUCUCUAGCCUCCCCACUUCCUCUUGCUACCUCCUCUACUUUACUCUCUUGUCCAUGGAUUAAAUGAUCCUUGGCCACGAAGGGCAAGCAGUCCAGGACAACUUGGCAUUAGGCACUGGGGGCAAAUCACCUCUUUCUUACCCCUAUCUCAUUUGAUGGUUAGGUUUCACAGCAGGUUUACACGCACACAUGCUUAGAUUGUAAUGAUGCAGUUACAGAACAGGCAGAAACACAUUGAAAAAGAGACUUCAUCUAAUCUACUCUAAGCAGCAUCUGGCAAUAGUUUUCUCAAGAGCCCUACACUGGGAGGGCUUGGCCAACCACAUUCUCUUUCUCUAUAAACAGUACAGCAGCUUAAUAAGUUAUGAACAUAAAUAAUUGCUCAAUCAACUAGUUCAAGUUAAAACUAGAAAUUACAGGCAAAGAAACAGUCCUUAAAUAUUUUUAGACAUAACACUUGAUUCUCAUUAGAUUAUUUGAUCUUUUUUUUAAGAACUCAGCAUAAACUUUGGUGUUCUUUUUCAAUUUGCAUUAGCAUAUAGACAUACAUUUUUAUGUAUUCUAUGAGCAGAGUUUUCAAUUUUCUAUUUUCAAGUUGCUGCUAAUGAUAAUCAUUUUGUUCCAAGUACCAAGAGGAAAUCCUUGGUCCCUAUUAACAGCUGCACCUAGCAUCUUGCCCAAAGAAGUGUUCUUUCUUAAUCACAUAAGAGAGAGCUGACGAGGGAUGACAUGGUAACCAUAUGGCAGUUUGGCAAAGGCAGCAAAUGCAGGCCAAAACAGAGUUUGGGCUAAGUGAAAUCCUCUCACAAAGGUCGUGAAGAUCUGUAAGCAAUUCUCUGCAUUCUGAUGAAAUCUGUCUUCUGACCAUGACCUGUUUCUUGUGCAUAGAUAAUCCCAUUAUCAAGAAACAGCUACUGCGGUGGUUCUGAACACAAUGUACAACAAGGCUUUGAACUUUCCCCACAAUGACUGUGACAGGAGUUACGAUGGAGCAGAUUGCUCCAGGCAAACAUGGAUAGGAAUGCUCAUAUUUACUUUUCAGGAGGAGUCUUUUCUGCAGGUAGUGUCUGACCCAGCGCUGGGUGGUUUUAACCACUGUUCUAGAUGUGUUUGCCAAGUCACGUGGUGUUUUUUUUUUGUACUUUAGCUUUUUGAUCAUCUAUAGUUAUUAAAUAUUAAAGCCAAAUCACAAUGCACAAAUCUUUAAUUCUCUGUAGUCUCAUGUCUCUGUCAGAAAGACUAUCCCAGAAAACCCUUUACUGUUCCAUAAACAAUGAAAUAAAAGCAGAUGUCGAUUCAACCCCACAUGCUCCUUCUCUAGUGGUAACUAUAAAUAUCAUGUGCCAUCACACUAAACUAUGCAUUCUAUGUUUCUUUCUCCCUAGUAAACAAUAAAACAUACUAUAUCGAAAAUAUUCCAUUCGCUUCCUUCCAAUAAUAUUUAAAUUUAAACAGACACUCAUAGCUCUUUGUUAGAAAAAUAUCAGGGAUAAAAUCACUUAAUGAGGAAACGAGACCUUUAAGAACCACAUGUUUGCCAUCCAAUGGCAAAAGUAAUAUAUUUUUGCAUAUAAAGCAAAUAUAUGGAGAGAGAAAGGAAAGGAGAGAGAGAAAGAAAAAAAUAAAUUCUGCACAGAGUAACAGGGUAAGAAAAAAGGAGCAUAAAAUAUUAAACAUAGAUAAUGUUACUAGGGUAUAUAUGUUUUUACACACACACACACACACACAUAUCUACGUAUACACACUAAACAUGCCUUCACACAUUUACAUGCCCACUGCAUUUCAUAAGCCAACUAUCUCAGAUUUGGAAUUACAAAGCUAAAAGGGCAUUGAGAGGUCAUCUGAGGAGAUCCUUUCCUUAGGUAGUUUAAUGCUUAAACCAUCCAAAGACCUGGCUAUCUAUUCUAUUUUAAGAGCUCUCUGGGGAUGGAGAUUCAUUAUAGACCACAAUGUAUUGUACUUGUAAUAGACUCACAGGUGCCUUUCUUGACAAAACCACAUUUCACAGAUCCUUGGUCUGACAGGCUUUAGAGGGUACCUUCUAAAUGCAUACUUCCUUCCUUCUGUGACAGCACAGAGGCUAAAGGAUUUAGUGUCACUUGAAAAUGCAGUGGAAGAGUUCAAAAAGGUACGGAUUUGUAUGUUAAAAUGACGUUAAUUUUUGCAACACUGCUGUUAGCCACAGCCCCUGGGCUAACCCACGGCAAAAACAUAAAAAAGGUGAAAUUUGCUUUCCGAGUCCAUCCCCUCUUAAACCCUCUUGAUUUGCUUGGAGCAACCUUCUCUUGCCAUUAUGUAUCACCACUGUAUCAGGUUCUGAUAGUAACAGUAUCCUGUCCCUAUAUCUCACUUACUCAGUUCACUUCUCUGAAAAUUAUUAAUGUAAAAAACACUAAUUCAGGCUGAGAUAUUAAGGAGCUUCUGAUUGGAUAACAACAUUUCACAGUUACUAGAGAGUUUAUAAUUUACUAAGUGCCACACAUACUGAGAAUUCCACGAAAAUAACGGUCUCAAUAUUUUCAAAUUUCAUCAUUUAUUACACAAUCUACUAAAUGUAUGCAUAAGAGUGGCCCUGCCAAACCCAAUCCUGCCUUCAAAACUUUGGAAAACUUCUAAAUAUAAAAUGUAUCAUGCUGAAACCCUGUUCAUUACAAAGGAUACUAAAAAAGCAUAUACCCACUGUCACUAGUGAAAAUAUGACUGGUACUGCAUUUUUUAAAAAUCCUUAAUUCUACUUAAAAGGAAAUAAAUUAAAAGACAUUCUAGAGGAACAUACAUUAGUAUCCAUACUUUAUAGCCCAAGUGGGUAUAUGAAGUUGGUGGUGCAGGGAGGGCUCUGGAGUAAAAUGGGAGGCAGGAAGAAUAAAUAAACAGAAUUUGCAAAGAAUUAUUUGAAUAAAUGUUCUUCUUGCCAAGAAAUGCUACUACUUAACUGCUUCCAAAGAGUAAACCAAUCUAAAAGGAGGCAGUGGAUUUGCAUGGUAGAAAAUUGGAGCGCUUCCUUUCAGCUACAGCUUUCACUCUCAAGAGCACAAAGAGAGGAAUUUUAGCCAAUUUUCUGACUGAUUUUUUUUUUGCUGUUGAUGAGCUUGCUUUUUAUUCUGCAAUUGUUUCUAAUGUCUUCCAAAAAGAAAGAAUGACACUAACUCUUUUAUUUGAAAUUGUGUAUCACAUGAUCAGUAAUUACAGAUACAAAGCCUUUUCAUCUUUAAAAGGAUAGCCCAUCCUUCAAGACACUAUAUUCAUCCACGGUAUUUACUCAUAUUUAUCACUUCUUCCUCAAAGCAAAGUGAGACAGAAUAAAAGGAAUCAAAGUACUAUAAAAGACAUUUUAAAAAUAGCAAAUAAAUGUUAAAUAAAAUAUUAUUUUCAGUGCAGACUUCUUAUAAAUUUGCUUAAACCAAGUUUGUGAAGCUUCUUUAAAUGGCAAAAAAAAAAAAAAAAAAAAAAAAAAAAAAAACCCUCAAAUUUCAAAUGAAGCUUCCGGAGCAGCCAAUUAAGGAACGCCCAUGGUCCAAUGGUGUAGGGAUAUGUGUUUAUUUAUGUGUGUUUAGUUUAAGGAGGAGUGACUUCGUGUGUGAGAGUGAAGUGUAAUAAGGUGGGGGGUAGGUACUAAAAGGGCAUACUUUGAAGGGUGGCAAAUAUAGCCACCAUAUUUCAUCAAAUCUAAGAUAUCACUGAUUUUAAGACAUGUUGCUAUUUUAUGCAUCACUAAGAAUGAAAAAAAAAUGCUUCCAAUUUUAUUAUGAGAGUGUUUUAUUAUUGUACUAAUUUUGAGGAGGUAUCCUUGUUCUCAGAGAUGUUAAAAUGUAAAAAAAAAAAAAAAAUUAAAAUGUCAUUUGUCAACAGGUUUUAGAUUCUCACACUGAGUCAUCCCUGUAAAUAAGGUUAUGAUUCUAAAAAGGCCUUUUUAAAAUGCAAAUAUUUUACCCAGGAGGUUUAGCAGAUUAAGCCAUUAACAGUCAUUAUGAUGCAUUAAUCUAUCAGCAGUCAUUAAAACUGUAAGGAAUAUUAAUUUAUCAGAUUACCAGAGCAAAGAGGAGAGGAGAAAAGGAUGCAGAAAGAAAUAUAAAGAGUAGGUGCUAGGCUUGUAGACUUUGCCUAGGCUACCACACAAAAGAGGCUUCUGGCACACUCGGAAGAGGAAAAUGAGGGAAUCUCAGGCUGAAAAGUUGUGCUUUGAGGAUACAAAGCAAAAGAGGAUGAGAGGAGGGAAAAAGGCAAAAACACAAAACUAAAAAGCACCCUUGGCGGCUUCACUUAUAUCCUAACAAGAAGACAAAUUAGAGAUUCUUAGGAUAGAGGAGAUACCCCUAAAGAAAGCACACUUCUAUUAAGGCUUCCGAGAACAUUCAAAAAUGGAUUUCCUAAUGAUGUUACAUGUCGAUGUGUAAUUUUUAUAGUGUGAACUGAUAAAUACUUCACCUGUUCUCAAGACUAGGAAACAGUUUAUUCCCAAGUGGUUUCUAUUUCUAUGUUGUGAUCUGUAACAUCUUUUCCUCUCUUGAAGGCUUCAGAAAGACACUGAUUUAUAUUCUGGUGAGGCGCAAUAUUUGCUUUUGAUACUAAGAUCAGGGUUCAAAGUCACCCAGGGUCAAACAUCUUAGGUUUUAUAUCCAGUAAUGCCACUGACUUUCUACGAGAUGUGCAGAAAUGAUUUAAAUGUAUGCCACACGAGUAUAACUACCUGACACAUAUCCCUUGAGGAAGACAGAAGCCAUUUUUACUUUAUGAUAGAAACACCAUAUACAAAUGUGGAAUGUGCUGUAGGACUAUGGGCAACUCCCUUAACCUUUCAGCUUCCUUAUCUCUAAAGUAGAGAAACUAACAGUGACCUAAAGACAGUGUCCCAAGCAGAUUAUUUCUUGGUAAUCAGGAUCCGAGAUUUGUUGCUCUAUUCUACUCUUAGAUAUGUGAAAUAAUUGUGAGCUAUUGAACACAUAUACUCCUCAGAAAUGGGUAAUUUUGCAACUCAGUAUGAAAAUGUCUAAUUGUGAGGAAUCUAAUAUAGCACAAUAUGAGCUGCAAUUCGGCUCAGCAAACACCCUGAGCACAUGCUGUAGCAAAAGCACCAUGUGUCUGUAUUAGGCUUGUCUCCACAAGGAGGAAUGAAAUGAUCCCUGACGAAAACAGAACGUCUUCUGUCAAUAAUAUGCCUCACUCUCUUGAAAUUAUAUAAAGCACACUAUUUUAAGUACACAUUCAAUUACCAAAAAUCAUUUUAUUUUAGACAUUUUCAACAAUGAAAUUAUAAACUGUAUGCAUGUAUAGUCCAGUCCAUUGAACAAAACUAAAUUUUGCUUGAUGACUGAGAGACAUUAUUUAACAUCUUCCCUCUUGAGCUUUAUAGAGAACCUCAGAAUGGAAAGGAAUAUUAACAGAAGAGUCCUGGAGUUCCCCUCGUGGCACAGUGGUUAACGAAUCCGACUAGGAACCAUGAGGUUGCAGGUUUGGUCCCCGGCCUUGCUCAGUGGGUUAAGGAUCCAGUGUUGCCGAGAUCUGUGGUGUAGGUUGCAGACUCGGCUCGGAUGGCUCUUGCAGGUUUGGUCCCCGGCUGUGGUGUAGGCCAGCGGCUACAGGUCCAAUUCGACCCCUAGCCUGGCAACCUCCAUACGCCAUGGGAGCGGCCCAAGAAAUGGCAAAAAAGACCAAAAAAAACAAAAAACAAAAAA